GAAAGGAGGGAGAACUGAAGGACAACUGACUAUUCAUUUGGUUCCUAAUAAGAUGAAAAGGAUAAAAUUGGGAAAAAGAGAUUUCAAGAUACCAGUGAUGGAAGUGAAAAGGAGGAAGAAAGGGAUAAGGAAAAUAAAAACAAGCUAGAAGAAAAAAAACAAGUGUCACAGUGGAUUUCUGAUGUUAUCUUUUCCAUAAAUCCUAAUAACCGCUAAUCAGUGGUGAGAAGACAAGAGCGAGAAUCCCCAGGACAUACUGAAACAUGCAGAGGAAUGAUCUCAUUGCCUCCACCCAAAGCUCUUUAAGAAUGAAAAUAACAUGUUUGCAAGGGCAGAACAUAUUCCUUGUAAGUAUCAGGCAUGCAGCAGCUGCACUUUAAGUGAUUGAAGAAAAAGCAGUCAAACAACAGAGCAUGCUAUGCACUUGUUUAAUCCAUCAGGUAAUGUCACACUGAUACUUCUCU
This 464-nucleotide long non-coding RNA is filed under the name Coturnix japonica (Japanese quail). RNAcentral's name for it is "lncRNA (ENSCJPG00005006797.1)". The record is from RNAcentral. Lineage: Eukaryota; Metazoa; Chordata; Aves; Galliformes; Phasianidae.